Molecule: long non-coding RNA, 3129 nt
Organism: Papaver somniferum (opium poppy)
Lineage: Eukaryota; Viridiplantae; Streptophyta; Magnoliopsida; Ranunculales; Papaveraceae
Exons: 7
Source: RefSeq, a predicted model, not a curated record
CGGAGAUACCGAUGUAUCGAAGAGAGUUUAUUCUCUUCUUAUUCUUCUCUUUCUUCUCUUCUUCUGUUCUUCAUCUCUUUCUCCCUAUCGAAUUCUAUUCCAAAGGUCUAGCUGAAUCGAGCUUCUUUUUGUGAGUGAUCCAUGUAAAUAUUGAGAUCUAGAUAAAUCUAAGAAGAGGGUGAUGAAUCUGGAAGGUAAUUGAGAAGAAAUAGAAAUUAGGGUUUCCUCCUGCCAUACUUUUCUUCUUCUUCUGCAACAAACUCCUACCAUACAUUUCUUCUCCGACAAACCAUGGUUGUUCCUCAUGAAUCAGUUGAGUUGUUGCUGUCAAUUUGAAAAAUGGCUCUCGAGAUUUCACAAAAAUAAAGGGUUUUGUGAGAUUCGAUUUGGAUUCACUCUAUGUGGGAUUUGUUCUCACCAACAGAAGGGCAAAAGCGUGCGCGUUGAGAACAAUUGUGGGUGGGAAAGUUCAUAUUUCACGUGAAUAUGAUACCAACAAAUAUUUGAACUACAUUUGGCUAAGAUGUGCAGAACACAAGUAUUUUCCUUCUUUAUUACCUUUUGUUUCUCGAGUGUACCUCUGCAACAGUGUUUCCUUGACACGACGAAGAGGUAGAUCUUUGCAAUUCUAUAUUAUGUUGACCUUAUCCCUUUUUAAAUUUAGUUGAGCUAAGGCUACAUCUCUCUACAGAAAGGUACGACUAAUUUUUAAUAUGUUUUUUUCUUCAUUCACACGAUUGAGUUUUAAUGUAAUACUGAUUUCAAUUGCUUUUUCAUCCAUUUGCUUUCAGGAUGCUGAUAAGAUUGUCACAAUACUGAUGUUCCUGUCAGAAGUCACUAUAAAAGGUGAUACUGUCAUUUGACGUAAGGAUACAUGAAUGGCAGAAAGGAGAAGAAGAGGAGUGUUCCCGCAACUGUGAAACUAAACAACAAAGUAAAUUGUUAUCAACAAAAGGAAAAAAAGACACGAGUCAUCCAGGAAGUACGAAAGACGAUGAUGUAACUAAGUUUUUGUUUUAUGGCAUUCAGCAAUUUCAUGAGUGCCAACGACAAUACCAUAGAUGCUCAUAAUACCAAAUUUUUUGGUAAUGUAGUACUUGAAUUUUUUGUUGUUAGUGAUGAAUGGCAUGAUUUAUAAAGGGGGAUACCAGUUCUACUAAGUGCUGAUACCGUUUCAUAUAGGACAAAAAAUCCCACCGAUCCUGGCCGUUGGAUCGAUGAAAUGGUAUCAACACUUAGUAGGAUUGGUAUCCCCCUUUAUAAAUCGGGAUGAAUGGGAUCCUUCUAUUUGUUGUCAAUUAAUCUUUGAAUUUCUGAUCCUGUGGAGUGUUUUUGUUAAAAUUGUUUUUCCUUUCUCUUUUUAUGUAAUUGACUAAAAAUACCACAUACGUAAAAACAUCUCUUUUGCAUUCGGUGAUAUUGUUUAUUUUGCUUAUGUUUUUUGCAUUCUAAAGAAUGAGGAGUCUGCUGGAAUUGAAUUUUAAAGUUGCUUUUGAUUUUACAGUAAAACUGCAUCGAGGCGAAGCCGAGCCACACCAAAUCAAAAAUCCCAAACAUGUAUCUGGACGGGUCGAGGCAAUGCCGAGUCAUACCAAACUAAAAAUUCUAAGCAAAUCAAAGCAUCAAGACGGGUCAAGGCGAAGCCGAGCCACACCAAAUCAAAUAUGCAUUGCGACGGGGCGAGACUACAAAAUAAAAAAAGCAUGACGGGGCGAGGAAAAGCCACAUCACACCAAACCAAAAAUAUGGUUAAAGAAAAAAAAUAUAUGAUGGUGCAUGGUUUUCGGGUCCGCCCGGUGCGUAGCACGGGCAAAAAAUCUAGUACUUAGCUAAUAAGAGGAGCACAUUAGGCCCAGGUUUUCCUAAAUAUCAAUUUUCGAAAAGAAAAACAACCACGACUGCUCUUCAACAACCCUAAAUCAAAGAAAAACGUCUGCAUAAUUAGUCGACGAAAUCAAUCGAGCUCAUCUUGCAAAAUCUCUAAGAACAAAUUUAUUUCAGUAUUUUGUCCCAACAAGCCCUAAUCUUCACAGGGCACCAAAAAAUCAAGUAAAAGUAAAGUCACAGGGGAUUAACCUAGUUGUUAUUCAAUCGAGCAAACAACCAAUAGAGAGGACCAAUGGUAAAACAUGAUAAAAGGGAGUAAGAAACCCUUAAAAUCAUAGAAUUUUGGCUAUUAAUUACUAACAUGUUCAUACUCUUCACGAUCAAUAUAUGUUUUGAAUUGUGGAGUUCGUAGAAGUUCUAUGAAAUCAGUGAUUCAUUUGAUAUAAUGUUUUAAUCUUUGUGAUCAUUUUCAGUUUUGAUUCGUCUUACUUUUAUUUGCCUACCUCCUGAGUAUGUUACGUACUUUUCAUCUUGAAAGAAAAAACUCUUCUCUGAUUGUAGGAGAUUCUUUUUUAGUCAAUGAAAAAAAAAUCAUUUAUCAAACAAUACAGUGAGGAUAAACGACUUUUCUUGGGAUGACUCCUCAUACCCACAAGUACGAAAUUGCUAUUCCAUGCAUUUUAUUAUUAGAGCAAAUGAAGGAAUUUUGGUAUUCUAGAAAGGUAUAAUGAAAAUGUUGCUCUUUGGUGAUUUUUUUAAGCUCCUACACAUACUUGAUAUUCAGGUUUUGCAGGAGCUGGUUUUAGAUUUUUCUCCUUCAUUUUUAAUAGAAAUAACAAUUCAUUGUAAUGGAGUAAUGGAGGAUGAACGGGCGUUUAGUAGCAGUUAUGUAGGAGAAGGUAUCUCAUGGAUAUAUUUACGAGACUUAGGCUGCGGGGCACUUGGAUUUUGGAUGGAAUGGGAUGCAGAAUAACAUCAAUAAUGGGAGCUUAUAUGGAGGGAAAAAAACACACACCAAUGUUGGCUAAUUUGAAACUUGCGUAACCUUCAAUUUUCCUUUUAUUAUACUAGUGGAUUGCCCGUUCCAUAAUGACGCGGGACAGAAGGGUGUCGGUGCUAUGGUUAAUGUCUUCGUCGGUAUAUGGGUCGAUAUUCACCAAUUCUUUAUUUUUUCUUACAUAGGAAAGGAUUAUAUCCAACUUGUAAUGAAUAUUUUCACCAAAAUGACGCACCUUGUAUCCCCAUAUCUCAUAGUAUGUAUUUAUUGCCAGUGAGGUACUUGUAAUCAUCCGGUGAACAUCC